Long non-coding RNA from Hordeum vulgare subsp. vulgare (domesticated barley), 750 nucleotides. RefSeq lists it as uncharacterized. The record is from RefSeq and is a predicted model, not a curated record. The transcript has 2 exons. Lineage: Eukaryota; Viridiplantae; Streptophyta; Magnoliopsida; Poales; Poaceae.
CAUAGGCCACGUCCAGGAGCACCACAUACUCGCCCAUGCUCUCUCUUGUGGCCUCCAUCGCUUGUGCGCCCAGCUCCAGCGGUCACGCCCACGGUGGACCAUGGGCUGUCUAUAAAAAGGCACCCCGAGCCGCUCCAGCCCCUCUAGUCUCUCUCUCACACCCAAUAGCCCUCUGACACCCUCCAUUUGAUCCCUAGAGCCCUCGAGAUCGAGAUCAAGCUCGGGACUGCCACCGUUCGGCCAGUGAAUACUCGGUGGUGACCUCUUCCCGUAGCUCUCCACCGCGACCUCCUCCUCACCGAUGACCCAUGCCUCUCCGGCGACCAACUCCGACAGCCCUCGAACAGCGACUCCAUACUGAUUCCAUCCACAGCUUCAUCGAGCCCUGUAGUUCCUUCUCUCACCAAAGGUGAGCUUGUCGUCCUCCCUGUCGCGGGGUUGGAGAUGAGAGGCAAGCUCCGCUUGUCGGCCCCGCCCCGCGUGUCAGUUCUAAACAAGACACACGUGUGCGUCAGCUCGCCUAGGCCGGGUUAGCUGGUUGGGCCUGGCUCGGCUCACUAUUUUGACCCUGGGCAUAGUAGCCCUUUUCUUGUUUUCUUUUUCGGCAUUAUUUCCAAAAAACCUCUGGCUAAAAUAAUAGUCCAAAUGCAAUGAUUCUAAUUUCAAAAAAAUUGUAAUAUUGCAAUCUAUUUAAUUGUGCCACUUGUGCAAUUUUUUAUAGGAAGCUUUAUACAGUGUUUUCAUUUAAAA